CGGGGGGAGCAAGCGUUGUUCGGAAUCACUGGGCGUAAAGGGCGUGUAGGCGGUUCGGCAAGUGAGAUGUGAAAUCCCUCGGCUCACCCGAGGACCUGCAUCUCAAACUGCCGGACUAGAGUAUGGGAGAGGAUGAGGGAAUUCCUGGUGUAGCGGUGAAAUGCGUAGAUAUCAGGAGGAACACCGGUGGCGAAAGCGCUCAUCUGGCCCAAUACUGACGCUGAGGCGCGAAAGCUAGGGGAGCAAACGGGAUUAGAUACCCCGGUAGUCCUAGCCGUAAACGGUGAUCACUAGGUGUUGGAGGCAUCGACCCCUCCAGUGCCGCAGCUAACGCAUUAAGUGAUCCGCCUGGGGAGUACGGCCGCAAGGUUG
Molecule: ribosomal RNA, 372 nt
Filed under: uncultured organism
Description: bacterial SSU rRNA
Rfam family: Bacterial small subunit ribosomal RNA
Source: RNAcentral